RNAcentral lists this long non-coding RNA (1089 nucleotides) under Olea europaea subsp. europaea. The record is from RNAcentral. Lineage: Eukaryota; Viridiplantae; Streptophyta; Magnoliopsida; Lamiales; Oleaceae.
UUUGGAUAUUGGGCUGGGGCUCAGAUUGAGGUUGGUUGGGCUAAAAUGGAUUUUUUGGCUGAAUUUCAACAAUUUAGUUAUGUAAAAAUUACAAAGAACCAAAAUUUUCAAGUUAUCAUUUCAAAAAUUUAGAUUUAAAGUUUGUUUUUGUAAAAAUCAGAUGAUAAUCCAACAUUUUAAUAUCAAUAGUAAUAGUUUAAAAUUAAAUGAAUCUAUAUACCUACCCCAUCUCUAUUCACCCAAACCCUAAUUAUUUUCCUCCAUUCCUUCUCUCUCCCUUCUCUCUUCUUUUUGUUUCAUCGCACUGAAUCAUCAUCGGUGGCGACGCCGCACAUGCCGUUGUCAGCUUGACCGCAGCAAGACACUGUCGACGCAACAACAACACGGUGCGGACAAGAUCCAGUCCAUUUUUUGAACCAUUACCCCGUUUGUUGCUGCUUCAAAACACAAACACAAAACGUAGAAGCAAGCGGCGGUGUCAUCUCGUGUUCGAGGAUAUGAGAGAAGCAACUUCAACUCCGACAUCACGACGCAGCAACUUAGAGUGGUUUUCUUGCUGUCGUGGUUUUCAGCAGCAAUGACGUCAUCUCCAGCCCGAUUAGAUCUGCUUUGUGACAGUUUUCAUGUUGCCUCGUAGUGGUGAUGAGGUAUGGUGGUGGUGGUGAAUCUGCUUCAUGUGUGGUUGUGGUGAUGGUGAUGCAACUUGCAGUUGUGGUAAUGGUGGUGGCGGGUUGGUGGUAAUUUUGGAUAUGCUUUUUUAGAUUUGAAUUUUGGUGGUGUUUGGGUGGAGAUGGUUGUGAUUUUGGUUGCGGUGGUGAGGUUGUGGUGAUGUUGGCAGUGCUGGUGAGGUUGUGGAUAUGUUGGUCGUGGUCAUAUAGUGGUUGUGGUUGAGAUGGAGUGGGUAACGUGUUUAACGUGUUUGUGAUCAAUUAUUUGAUAGACUGUGACCAAUAAAUUGGUUAAUAUGUGACCAGACUAAUGAAAUAGAUAAUUUGUGACAUAAACAUAUGUUAAAUUGUGACCAUUAAUUUAGUAAUUUGUGACCUAAGAAUAUUUUGUGAUCAAUAAUAUGAUAAUUUGUGAUGAUGA